This 490-nucleotide ribosomal RNA is filed under the name uncultured bacterium. RNAcentral describes it as "partial 16S ribosomal RNA". It matches the Rfam family "Bacterial small subunit ribosomal RNA", at positions 28 to 507 of the family's 1533-position model. The record is from RNAcentral.
GAUGAACGCUAGCUACAGGCUUAACACAUGCAAGUCGCGGGGCAGCAUGGGGGUUGCUUGCAAUCCCCGAUGGCGACCGGCGCACGGGUGAGUAACGCGUAUCCAACCUGCCCUUCACCACGGGAUAACCCGGCGAAAGUCGGACUAAUACCGUAUGUUGUCCAUUGACGGCAUCCGAUUUGGACGAAAGGUUUGGCGGUGAAGGAUGGGGAUGCGUCCGAUUAGCUGGACGGCGGGGUGACGGCCGCCCGUGGCGACGAUCGGUAGGGGUUCUGAGAGGAACGUCCCCCACACUGGAACUGAGACACGGUCCAGACUCCUACGGGAGGCAGCAGUGAGGAAUAUUGGUCAAUGGGCGUAAGCCUGAACCAGCCAAGUAGCGUGCAGGAUGACGGCCCUAUGGGUUGUAAACUGCUUUUAUGCGGGGAUAAAGUGGCCCACGUGUGGGUUUUUGCAGGUACCGCAUGAAUAAGGACCGGCUAAUUCCGUG